AUGAACCUUCGGUGGGGAUWASUGGCSAACGGGUGAGUAACACGUGSGYAAUCUGCCCUUCAYUCUGGGACAARCCCUGGAAACGGGGUCUAAUACCGGAUACCACUACCGCAGGCAUCUGUGGUGGUUGAAAGCUCCGGCGGUGAAGGAUGASCCCGCGGCCUAUCASCUUGUUGGUGAGGUAAUGGCUCACCAAGGCGACRACGGGUAKCCGGCCUGARAGGGCGACCGGCCACACUGGGACUGARACACGGCCCASACUCCUACGGGAGGCAGCAGUGGGGAAUAUUGCACAAUGGGCGAAAGCCUGAUGCMGCGACGCCGCGUGAGGGAWGACGGCCUUCGGGUUGUAAACCUCUUUCAKCAGGGAAGAAGCGAAAGUGACKGUACCUGCAGAAGAAGCKCCGGUUAUCUACKUGCCAGCARCCGCGGUAAUACRUAKGGCGCAAGCGUUUGUCCGGAAUUA
This 466-nucleotide ribosomal RNA is filed under the name Streptomyces canus. RNAcentral describes it as "partial 16S ribosomal RNA". It matches the Rfam family "Bacterial small subunit ribosomal RNA", at positions 75 to 553 of the family's 1533-position model. The record is from RNAcentral. Lineage: Bacteria; Bacillati; Actinomycetota; Actinomycetes; Kitasatosporales; Streptomycetaceae.